Molecule: long non-coding RNA, 728 nt
Organism: Hevea brasiliensis (rubber tree)
Lineage: Eukaryota; Viridiplantae; Streptophyta; Magnoliopsida; Malpighiales; Euphorbiaceae
Exons: 2
Source: RefSeq, a predicted model, not a curated record
GUCUCACCAUGGAAGAAAAUAUUGAGGUUCGGAAGAAAAGGUAAGUUGAGCCCUAGGUUUAUUGGCCCAUAUGAAGUCAUUGAACGUGUGGGACCAGUAGCCUACAGGCUAGCUUUACCACCAGAGCUGGAUAAGAUCCACAAUGUGUUCCACGUGUCUAUGCUAAGACGAUACCGCUCAGAUCCUUCACAUGUCAUCUCCAUGGAAGAAAUUGAAGUACAACCGGAUUUGACAUAUGAAGAGGAACCCAUACGAAUCCUGGCUCGGGAAGUAAAAGAGUUGAGGCAUAAGCAGAUUCCACUGGUGAAAGUGCUUUGGAAGCACCACAACACCGAGGAGGCAACUUGGGAAAGUGAAGAGAUGAUGAGGCAACAGUUCCCUCAACUGUUUGCAUCAGGUACUGGAGAUUUAGCUGGGGAGUCCAGCAGACCGCAUACUGGGUGAGCCAUCAUAUCUGCACUCAGAGUUCAGAGUCACCUCACAUUGCAGUGCAUUUGGUAGGACAUUAGGCCAUCUGGGAUAUUUUGAUAUUUUGUUAUUUUGUAUUUUGUAAACUUUUGUUAUGUACAUUAUAAACUCAUGUACUUAUAUUUUUGCUGUAAUUAUCUAUGAACUGUGUUCAGAAUUAAAUAUGAGUAUUUCUCAUUGAACUUGGUGAAUAUGAGUUGAAUGUAAAUUUUGGAAUACUGAAUUGAUUUGAGAAAUGAUUGAGAUUGAGAUUGUAAUUA